Melopsittacus undulatus (budgerigar) is the source of this 72-nucleotide small nucleolar RNA. The record is from Ensembl. Lineage: Eukaryota; Metazoa; Chordata; Aves; Psittaciformes; Psittaculidae.
AAGUGAUAUGAUGGUACACCAUCUUUCGGGACUGACCUGAGAUGGAGAGAACUCUUUUAAUACUGAUCACUU